CUUACAAGGUGUUGUCAUAUUUUAGGUCUAUCAUAUGCAAGUCACACAGUUGGUUUCACGCCACCAACUUCACUGACUAGAGCCGGAAUGUCUUACUACAAUUCCCCAGGUCUUCACGUGCAGCAUAUGGGAGCAUCGCACGGUAUCACAAGGCCUUCACCACGGAGAAGCAACAGUCCUGACAAAUUCAAACGGCCCACACCGCCCCCGUCUCCCAACACACAGACCCCAGUCCAGCCGCCGCCGCCUCCGCCUCCGCCGCCCAUGCAGCCCGCGGUGCCCUCAGCAGCUGCCUCGCAGCCCGCCCCUUCUCAGCAUUCGGUGCACCCCCCCUCCCAGCCUUAAUGCAUGUGCUUAGUCUGAAUCUCACGUUGGGACUCGUACAGUGGAGCCGUCUACUCAACGCCAAAGGCUUCCUUCCUUCCCCGGCAUAUUUGGAUCUGACUUAUUUGCACUGAGGUUAUCUAGGCUUCACUAUUAAUUGUGUUGUAAAUGUUUGUCGGAAACGCAGCCAGUGUUGUGGGUUACAACACUAAACAGACGACUUUUUCCAUCAGUGUUUUACUUGAAUCUACAUGUACGUCCAUUCCCUGGCUGGGACAGUUGCUAUUCAAUAUUGGUAAUUCGGCAGCAGUGUGCAGUUUUUCGCUUGGCCCCAGAGCUUCAUUUUUUUGGCUUUUAGGUUUGUAAAAUAAAAAGGGAUAUCUUUUUUAUAUUUUUUUCCCAUGAAUUUGCAGAAAAUUACUGAGCUGUUAUUACCACCCCACCCUCAUAAUGGUGUUUACCAAACAUACCAAUAAUUCAGCACUACAAUUCAGACCUUUGAAAAUCUAGCUUUCAGGGUAGAAUGGAAAGUUAGAUGGAUCAGUGCCCAAGACAAUAUACUGUUUAAUAGAGCUUUCUACAGAUACACUUUUUAUAAGGUUAUUUUCAGUAUAUAUCAAAAUCCAUGUCUCUUGUACAAAAGAUAGCCUACAGUAAUGGAUCACAUGGCUGUACCUUUUCCACCUACAUGGGAUGGAUAAUUAUUGUGUAUUAAGGUGUGAUUCUUUCUUUAUCCUUAAUGUUAAUCUACCCAAACUGGCCCUUUCUAACAUGAGUCCAUAAAUGUUGACCUCCCCACCAGUGGUUGCGAUGGCUGGUUAGAACAUGCUAUUUGAUUUCUGCUGCAGAAGGCAAUGUGACGAUUAUAACAAAAACAGCUAUUUCCCCUUCCCAUUCUUUGUGUUCCCCUAAAAUAGAGUUUGAACAAAUAUUUUAAA
This is a long non-coding RNA of Pteropus alecto (black flying fox), 1262 nucleotides long. RefSeq lists it as uncharacterized. Lineage: Eukaryota; Metazoa; Chordata; Mammalia; Chiroptera; Pteropodidae. The transcript is spliced from 2 exons. The record is from RefSeq and is a predicted model, not a curated record.